Pan troglodytes (chimpanzee) is the source of this 143-nucleotide non-coding RNA. It matches the Rfam family "Metazoan signal recognition particle RNA". From Rfam's summary of the family: The signal recognition particle (SRP) is a universally conserved ribonucleoprotein. It is involved in the co-translational targeting of proteins to membranes. NCBI's taxonomy places the organism in Eukaryota, Metazoa, Chordata, Mammalia, Primates, Hominidae. The record is from Rfam.
GCUGGGCGUGGUGGUGGGUGCCUGUAAUCCCAGCUACUGGGGAGGCUGAGGCAGGAGAAUCGCUUGAACCCAGGAGAUGGAGGUUGCAGUGAGCUGAGAUCACUGUACUCCAGCCUGGGCAACAGAGUGAGACUCUGUCUCAU